AUCAAGCUUUUCUUUCUCAAAUAGCAAUAUGUAGAUUCAAAGCAUUUGUGAUUUGUGUUUUUUGUUUGUUUCCUACUCUGAUGGGAAUUAUAUUUGUUUUUGUACAACAUGAGAAGAAUCAUAAGGGACAAAAAGUGAACAUUAAUUCUUCAGUUAAAAACAAUUUGAAGUUUAUUAUUUUAAUUAUAGAAAGCACCAGAAUCUUUUCAAUAAAUAUCAUUCAUAAACAUUUCAGUUUCACACUGCAGAGUGUGCAGGAAGAGACAUAGGGAUACAGUUGGAGUGGGGAAGGACAGGCAGUUGAGACUUCAGGAGAUUUCUCACUGUGCCGGAGUCUGAGCGGCCUGCGGCUCUGGGCUGGAGGAGCUGCUGCUGUGGAUAGUGCUUCAGUUUUUACCACUUACAGUGAAGCAGUGAUUUUACCAGAUGACUGCUACAGAUCCUUUAUUUCCCUUGAAAUACACCCCAAGUGUAUACAAUGACUUACAAAAAGUGUAUAAGGUUGUUUAAAAUUAGUGAUGCAGGAAUAAUGGGAAACAAGAAUAGCAGAGUAAAGGUAGAGGCAAAAAUGUAUGCUUUACCAAAGCACAUCACAUGACUGCAAAGGCCGACCACAGCUCUGUCACUGUUCUACCCAUAACUAAAGCAAGUAAUGAAAUCGCCCGCAGAAUAACAGUGCCAUUGUGAAGUAAUAGAGACCUCAGUGCUAUUCAGCUUUUUCCUGGAAGCUUUGGGGGAAGAGUCUCCUGUAGGAUCAUAAAAGGGAACAUAUAUUUGUAGGUUUUUUUUUUUAAAUCUUCUAUCUGUGAUAGAGAAAACUAGUUUUAUUUUUUAAAUUCUAAAGGUUUAUUUUUAUUAUUUCUUAACUUAUAUGUGUGAGUAUAUCCAUCUGAGUGCAGGAGUCAUUGAAGUGCAGAAGAGGGCAUUGGCCCCCUUGGAGCUGGAGUUCUACAUGGUGGUGAGCUGCUGAGUGUGGGUACUGGGACCCACACUCAGGACCUCUGAAAGAGCAGCACUCUUUACCUCUGAACCGCCUCUCCAGUGUUGUCCCUUUCCCUGCAUCUUUAAAAUAUUUCUUUUUAUUGCUUAAAAUUUUUAAUGUGAGUAUUUGUUUUGAGACAAGGUCAAGCUAUUCUUGAAUUCAUGAUUCUUCUGUCUUAGUCUUCCAAAUUUCUAGAAUUAUAAGCAUAUGCCACUGUGUUCAGUUAGAAGACAUCCAUUUGUGGUGAGUUAAGCUCUAGGCUAUUCACUAGGUCCCCUGGGAACCAGAGAACUCAAGGAAAUUAUUCAAGGCUAAGUAGUUACUGUCAAAGAUAGGGUUAUAUUCAAGUCUGUAGUCUCUAACACAGUACCUUUUUGCUCUUUGGUCCAUUAUUGGUGAGUCAGUAUAGGUGUAGCCCUAUUAUUUACCUUGUAAUUUUGACAGAGUGUUUAGAUAGGGAGGUAGAUAGAUAGACAGACAGAUCCAUCUUAAAUGGUUGAUCUGUCCAUGUCUUGCUUCUUUUGUAGAAUGGAUGUGUAAACAGGCCAGCUUCAUUGAAUUAUUGUGAAGAGAAGACACCCACGCACAAGGCCUGUGCCGUACACAAAGGAAGUCCUUGAUACCCUGUAGUUCUGUUGCAAUGCCAGCAAAAAGAAAAAUGCCAGACAUUAAACAGAGUCUGUAUUUGCUCUCUAGAAUUGAUCAGAUGAAAAGUUAAUACCUGUCCGUUUAUUAUAGUUACUAUAGACAUUCACCAUUUCAUCAGUGGAGUGAGUUUUUAGUUACCAUAUAUAUCCACAAAAUGCAAGCAUUCAGGAAAACCCAAAGUAUUUAAGCACAGUACACUAAGGAGAACAUGAGAGGUUUAAGUAGAUCAAACACAGAGCAGCCAGUGUGUUAGGAGAACUGAAAUUGUGCUCUGGGAAGAAUGCUGGCGCAACUGCAGAUGUUUAGUUUGGAGGAAGGUGAAGGAGUGAGAGGAGGGGAGGGCAAGGGUGAGGUUGUAGAAAUUGGAGGCGUUUGGAGGCUGUUACUAUAUGGGAGAUUUAUUUUUGGUGAUUGGUCACAGAACUAGAGUCUAUAGAUAAAAAUGGCCUGAAAACACAUUUUUGCCUCAGUUUAAGAAAAACUGCCAUUUGGAAUUGUCUGACAAAAGGAAUAGAGGAAGUGAGCUGUCUCAGGAGACAGACUGCACGCUGCAUGUUAUCAGAAGUGUUACAAUGAAUGGGUUCAUUUUGGAGGUAGAGUUGAAUGAAAAUACUCACAGAAACCAAUAAAGGCUGUUGCUGCCAAGCCUGAUGACCUGGGUUCGAUCCUCGGAACUCACAUGUCCUCUGACCUGAUUACUGCAGAGACUCAACAGUGAUGCUGUAAGGAUGUUAUUGUGUGUCAGCCUUCUACUUGUCAGUCCUGAGCAGUACUCUUUGUCACCCCUGCUGGUUGGUGUUUGUAGUGACUGUCACCCUCAGGGAACCAGGAAGUUUUAGAUUCAUAGGGUAGAAGGGACUUUACAAAUCAUUUAGUCUAGUCUAUACAUUUGUUUCCUGAGACAUUUUAAGGUGAGUUAACUUUUUAAAAGUAAAAUUGCAUUAUCUGGUAUCAGGAAAUUGAUGUACAGGGCCGGAUCAGUAGUCCAGUUGGUACAGUGCUUCCAUGAAACAAGAGAAACUAAAUUCAGUCCUCAGAGCCCACUUUAAAAACUGGGCUAAGGUCAGCUCAGUAGGCAAAGGUGCUUGCCACCAACCUGACAGUUUUAAUCCCUGGAACCUGCAUGGCAGUGGGAGAGAACUGACGGCCACUGCUUGUUGUCUGCUCUCCAAACUGUGUCCUGCAUGUGCACACCUGCAUGCACAUGUGCAUAAACAAGUGUAAAGAGAAAUGCUCAGGUGUGGUCCCAUACACUUUCAGUCUUCCUGCUGGGGAGGUGGGGACAGGCAGAUCUCUGGGUCCUUGUCAGCCAGACUUACCUGCUUAGUGAAUUGAAGGCCAAUAAAAGACCCUUACCCAAAAACAAGGUGGACAACACCCAAGGAACAGCACUGACCUCUGGCCUCCAUGCAUUUUCAUGCAUGCACACACACAUAGACAAAUAUACUCACACAAAGGAAACUGGUGAGUGGAAGCUGACUUGUGGAAAGUAUUCUUGGAAGGGAACAAGAGGAAGCAACAGCAGUUUGUAGGGUAAAACUUUUUUAAAUCAGCUGCUAGGUUUGGAAGGCCCUGUAGAUUCUGUUCUCGGACAUCUUAACAGUAAUGCCAGAGAGAUGACUCUUAUCUCAGUGAGUGGAAGAUUUUAUUCUUUCUUCUUGUGUGAUCUGUUUAGGACACUGGGAAUUGUAGUGAUGGCUGCCACGGAACAGAAAUCUUCCUCCAAGACUUUUUAGUUUCAUCAUAGCUCAUUAGACUGCACCCUCCCCCUGCUAUUUGUUAAAAUCGGUGCUACAACAAACUCAGUUAGGAUCAAAGUUCAGGCAUACACAUUGAUUCAAGGAUCAGAGUUCAGCAGGUAAAAGGCUAGCACCACCGUGGCAAAUCAAUGCUGCUUUAUUUUUGUGCCGUGCUGUGCUGAGCUGAGGGACAUUCUGUACUGGCAAGCCAAAUCUGGGUUAAGUCAGAACUGCAGUGUUAACUCCUCCAAGGGGAUUAUCUCUUGCAAUGUCCUUCUUGACUUAGUGUCUGUUAGUCAUCGAAGUCGUGGAAGUUAAGGUCUGUAAAGAGCACGUUGUGUUAGGGUGAGCACAUGAGAGACCCAGCCUCUGUUUAAAACUGCAG
Myodes glareolus (Bank vole) is the source of this 3754-nucleotide non-coding RNA. The record is from RefSeq and is a predicted model, not a curated record. NCBI's taxonomy places the organism in Eukaryota, Metazoa, Chordata, Mammalia, Rodentia, Cricetidae.